AGCUAUCAGCUGAUCAGUUGUUUGCUUCUGUCUGAUUUCGUUUCGAGUCGUAAGAGGCCAUUUUUGCCUAGUAAGUUUCUGAUUCUGAAAGCUCUUAAUCUGGUACGCUAUUGGUGUCGUUUAUUGUGUGUGUCCACUUGAUUCUGCUCUGCAUUCAGUGUGUUAAUUAAUGCGUGAUCUCUAUUGAGUCACCCCUGGUAUUUCUGGUCAUAGCCCACUCCUAAUUGUGGACCCUGGGCACCAGUUGAAAGGUGUAAUAUAAUUGUAUUACUCGUUGGCCCUAG
Daphnia magna is the source of this 284-nucleotide long non-coding RNA. RefSeq lists it as uncharacterized. Lineage: Eukaryota; Metazoa; Arthropoda; Branchiopoda; Diplostraca; Daphniidae. The transcript has 3 exons. The record is from RefSeq and is a predicted model, not a curated record.